GACGAACGCUGGCGGCGUGCUUAACACAUGCAAGUCGAACGGAAAGGCCCUGCGUUUGUGGGGUGCUCGAGUGGCGAACGGGUGAGUAACACGUGAGUAAAAUGUCCCUGACUUUGGGAUAUCUUCAGGAAACAGGGGCUCAUAUCGGAGAGGAGAUCCUGCUCCAUGGUGGGGGUUGGAAAGUUUCGGCGGUUGGGGAUGGAAUAGCGGCUUAUGAGCCGGUUGGUGGGGUAGUGGCAUACCAAGGCUUUGACGGGUAGCCGGCCUGAGAGGGGGACCGGCGACAUUACGACUGCGAGACGGCGCAGUCGCGUACCGUCGGCAACGGUGGAGAACAUUGCACAGUAGGGCGAAGCCUGAUGCAGCAACGCCGCGUGCGGGAUGACGUGCUUCGGGGUGUGAACCGCUGUCUCCUGAGACGAAGCGUGAUUGACGGUAACGGGUCAAGAAGCACCGGCUAACUACGUG
RNAcentral lists this ribosomal RNA (468 nucleotides) under uncultured bacterium. RNAcentral's name for it is "partial 16S ribosomal RNA". It matches the Rfam family "Bacterial small subunit ribosomal RNA", at positions 28 to 507 of the family's 1533-position model. The record is from RNAcentral.